This 362-nucleotide long non-coding RNA is filed under the name Brachypodium distachyon (stiff brome). RNAcentral's name for it is "long non-coding RNA (BDIS_LNC004977)". The record is from RNAcentral. Lineage: Eukaryota; Viridiplantae; Streptophyta; Magnoliopsida; Poales; Poaceae.
AUAGAUAAAUUGUGCUGAUGCACGUUAAGCAUACAUAGUAAAAGAAAAUUUGCAACUUGGAAGGGAGGGCUGCAGCCCAUGUUGGCCUCCAUGACGCUCCGCCAGUGGUCGCAGGGGCUAACGAUGAAUCCCGCGAUUUAAUGCCACGCACGUAAAGUAGCAAGACAUAAAACGCACGCGCGUAUCCAGGCGGCCAUGAUGUCGCGGGGCUAGCGAGCGAAUCCCGCGAUUUAAUGCCGCACGUGUAAAAUGGUAAGUCAUGAACACGCGCAUUGCGUCCUUCGAUUCAAAGGAACUAAGAUUUGUUUUACCAUUAAUAAUACUUAAAAAUUGCGAAAAAUAACCCGGCGUGAAAAGACCAG